GCAGUAGCUUAAUGGUAGAGCAGUGAAAAGCUUCCUCACCCCUUGUCGCCGUCACCUUUUUCAAACACGUCAAUGCCACAUCGUGGCCCGCUUUGCGCGGGCGGAUGCCGGGGAAACUACAUCUUACUUGGUUACGGGUUCGACUCCCGUCUCGUGCU
This 158-nucleotide transfer RNA is filed under the name Verrucomicrobium spinosum DSM 4136 = JCM 18804. RNAcentral describes it as "tRNA-Und (NNN) (tRNA-Und-NNN-3-1)". The record is from RNAcentral. Lineage: Bacteria; Pseudomonadati; Verrucomicrobiota; Verrucomicrobiia; Verrucomicrobiales; Verrucomicrobiaceae.